GACGAACCGAGCGACCGUUGUUCGGAAUCACUGGGCUUAAAGGGCGCGUAGGCGGCCCGCUAAGUCGAACGUGAAAUCCCCAGGCUCAACCUGGGAACUGCGUCCGAUACUGGCAGGCUUGAAUCCGGGAGAGGGAUGUGGAAUUCCAGGUGUAGCGGUGAAAUGCGUAGAUAUCUGGAGGAACACCGGUGGCGAAGGCGGCAUCCUGGACCGGUAUUGACGCUGAGGCGCGAAAGCUAGGGGAGCAAACGGG
Molecule: ribosomal RNA, 253 nt
Filed under: uncultured bacterium
Lineage: Bacteria
Description: partial 16S ribosomal RNA
Rfam family: Bacterial small subunit ribosomal RNA
Source: RNAcentral